CUGUCAAUGUCUGUCCCUCUCGUCUUAGCAGAGAAUGCCACUGCAGCUUCACCAGUGAGCAAAGACCAUACAUCAGAGUCCGUGACAAAGGUGGAACCCAAAGGAUUUAAAUGUAUGUAUUAUGGAAUUUUUUUUUCUUUCUCAGGACACAUUUUAGAUAAGAAUUGUAGAAAUACUAGCUGUCUUUUGUCUGGUACACUACAGUGAUAUAAGAUUUCUAUUGGGAUGAAAAUUGGGAGUUAAAAGGGGGAUACCUGAAGUACCCAGUCAUGGCCCUGUGUCUACAGUAACUGCUUUCAACUGGAAUGCCUUUAGUUUGGGAGGGGGUGGGUUCUGUGCACCAGGCAGUGACUACAUAGGUUUUUCCCCAGGACAGUUAUCCUCGUUACACAAUCCACCUCCCAGUGACAAAUUUGUCAAUUCAAAAAGGAAGAUACACAUUUUACCUACAAAAAUGUGCUUUAACCUCGCCAUACCAACGGGCAGCAGAUUUAUUUCUUUGUGCAGCUUUCAGUAGAAUCAUAACCCAAAGUGUAGAGGUAACUCAUCAGCCUCUGUAGCCAUAGAGCUUAAGGAAUACUCCAUUAAGGGUUCAGCAAUCCCUGUGCGAGUGUUCCAGCUUCCUAGAUCUGUCUCCAGUAACCACACCUAGUGAGAUACAUGCACUGACAAGCACCAGCAGUCAGCAGAAGACUGGGCAGUGCUCUUUAUCUCCCUGAA
RNAcentral lists this long non-coding RNA (720 nucleotides) under Mus spicilegus (steppe mouse). Its description in RNAcentral is "lncRNA (ENSMSIG00000026654.1)". The record is from RNAcentral. Lineage: Eukaryota; Metazoa; Chordata; Mammalia; Rodentia; Muridae.